This 540-nucleotide ribosomal RNA is filed under the name uncultured bacterium. RNAcentral describes it as "bacterial SSU rRNA". It matches the Rfam family "Bacterial small subunit ribosomal RNA", at positions 356 to 896 of the family's 1533-position model. The record is from RNAcentral.
GAGGAAUAUUGGUCAAUGGACGCAAGUCUGAACCAGCCAAGUAGCGUGCAGGAUGACGGCCCUAUGGGUUGUAAACUGCUUUUAUGUGGGAAUAAAGUGGCGCACGUGUGCGCCAUUGCAUGUACCUCAUGAAUAAGGACCGGCUAAUUCCGUGCCAGCAGCCGCGGUAAUACGGAAGGUCCGGGCGUUAUCCGGAUUUAUUGGGUUUAAAGGGAGUGUAGGCGGUCUGUUAAGCGUGUUGUGAAAUUUAGGUGCUCAACAUUUAACUUGCAGCGCGAACUGUCAGACUUGAGUACACGCAGCGCAGGCGGAAUUCAUGGUGUAGCGGUGAAAUGCUUAGAUAUCAUGAGGAACUCCGAUCGCGAAGGCAGCCUGCGGGAGUGUUACUGACGCUUAAGCUCGAAGGUGCGGGUAUCGAACAGGAUUAGAUACCCUGGUAGUCCGCACUGUAAACGAUGGAUGCCCGCCGUUGGCGCCCCUGCGCCUGCGGCCAAGCGAAAGCAUUAAGCAUCCCACCUGGGGAGUACGCCGGCAACGGUG